AUGAGGUGGCCAAAGUACUGGAGUUUCAGCUUUAGCAUCAUUCUUUCCAAAGAACACCCAGGGCUGAUCUCCUUCAGAAUGGACUGGUUGGAUUUUCUUGCAGUUCAAGGGACUCUCAGGAGUCUUCUCCAACACCACAGUUCAAACGCAUCAAUUCUUCAGUGCUCAGCUUUCUUCACAGUCCAACUCUCACAUCCAUACAUGACCACUGGAAAAACCAGGAGACCUAUUGAAAAUUCUGGAAAAAAGAAACAGUCAGAUAAAGGACAUGACCUUACUCGAUUGUGGACACUUUUAUUGAAAUCCAUAAACAUUGUGACUGCCUGCUUGGAAUUGGAUUUAUUUCACUUUCGUUGGUAUGAAUGGCAGUUGUGAAGGGUAUUUGUUUGUGGGAUUUUCUAAUAUUCUUAAAGAAGGCUUUCAAUAGCAUUGCACUAUCUAUAUUGAUUUGCUUUUCCACAGAUAUAUCAAAACUUUCACUGAAGUAGUUAAAAUAAUAUUUACAGUAUUGUUUUACUAUGUAUGAUAAUGUAUCAUGCUCAUGCUCGGUCACUCAGUCAUGUCUGACUCUUUAUGACCCCUUGAACUGUAGUAGCCCACCAGGCUCCUCUGUCCAGGGAAUUUUCCAGGCAAGAAUACUGGAGUGGGUUGCCACUUCCUCCUCCAAGAUCUUCCCAACCCAGGGAUCGAACCUGCAUUUUCUGCGUCUCCUGCAUUGGCAGCCACUGAGCUGGGAAGCCCCUUAUGAUAAUGUAAACAUUAAAACACUAUGAGCUUAGGAAAUUAACAUAUACAAGUCACAUAAAAUAUCUUCAAAUAAAAACACUUUUUCAUUUUCCUAAUAUUGAAAUACGACUAUAUCAUUUCCUUCUUAAACUCAUCUUCCAUUGAAGGUAUGUCCUAGAACUUCGGACAGACAUGUUUUCCUGGCCUCCAGGAUAUCCUGCCAUCUAUUAUCAAUUAUUGGUAAGCAAAUAUUUGAAAACAUUAUGGGGAUUUCCAUUUAAAAUUAUUCAAUGUUGAAUUACCUUAUAAUGGCACCAGCUCCCAAAUCACUGCAGAUGGUGACUGCAGCCAUAAAAUUAAAAGACACUUACUCCUUGGGAGAAAAGUUAUGACCAACCUAGAUAGUAUAUUCAAAAGCAGAGGCAUUGCUUGCCGACUAAGGUCCGUCUAGUCAAGGCUAUGGAUUUUCCUGUGGUCAUGUAUGGAUGUAAGAGUUGGACUGUGAAGAAGGCUGAGCACGGAAGAAUUGAUGCGUUUGAACUGUGGUAUUGGAGAAGACUCUUGAGAGUCCCUUGGACUGCAAGGAAAUCCAACCAGUCCAUUCUGAAGGAGAUCAACCCUGGGAUUUCUUUGGAAGGAAUGAUGCUAAAGCUGAAGCUCCAGUACUUUGGCCACCUCAUGAGAACUCUUGCCUGGAAAAUCCAAUGGAUGGAGGAGCCUGGUAGGCUACAGUCCAUGGGGUCGCUAAUGGUCAGACAUGACUGAGCGACUUCACUUUCACUUUUCACUUUCCUGGGUUGGAGAAGGAAAUGGCAACCCACUCCAGUGUUCUUGCCUGGAGAAUCCCAGGGAUGGGGGAGCCUGGUGGGCUGCCGUCUGUGGGGUCGCACAGAGUCGGACACGACUGAAGUGACUUAGCAGCAGCAGCAGCUCAUCUUUAAUAAAGUAAAAGAAAAAGUGAGGAAGAAGGGAGCAGAACAGGACACAGGCCAUGUCAAGGGGGAAAGGUAAAGGGAGGGGGCAGGUAUUUGAGGACUGGGGUUUGGUUUGAUGUUUACAAAGGGCCAUAGGUAAGGGAUAUGCCAAUUCUAUAUGCCAGUGUUUAGUAUUAAAAAAAUUUUUUCCCCCCUGUUUUUUUUUUGUUUUUUUUUUUUUUUUUUUUUUUGCCUUUUAAGGCAUUUUUUUUUUCUCUCUCUGUCCCCUCCCUAUAAAAUUUUAGUACCAAAGAUAUACUGAGUAUCUGCUUUUUUAAAAACUAUAUAUACAUCUGUUUUGGGGGGCUUCCUUGGUGGCUCAGAGGUUAAAGCGUCUGCCCGCAAUGCGGGAGACCUGGGUUUGAUCCCUGGGUCGGGAAGAUCCCCUGGAGAAGGAAAUGGCAACCCACUCCAGUACUCUUGCCUGGAGAAUCCCGUGGAGCUUGGUGGGCUACAGUCCACAGGGUCGCAAAGAGUCGGACACAACUGAGUGACUUCGCCUCACCUCACAUCUGUUUUUUAAACUUAAAAAGAGUAAGUUUCUUUUUUCUUUUUCCCUCCCACUUAUGUUUACUCCAUUGGAAGUGAUAUUGAGAAUCCAUGCUCUAUGUAAUCUUCCUGUGAGAAUUCAUGUUCUAUGUGCUUAAGAAAUAAUUUGUGGACUCAGUGUGGCUCAACAGAAGUUAUGUAUAUCAUAAAGAGCUGGAAAAAGUCAGGGCUAUUUGAAUGGAAAAGAUGAGAACCACUGUCCUUCAUUUUGGGUUUAUAUGGAGGAGGAAACCCCAAGGUUCUUUUGGCAGAAACUACCAUGUACCACAUUGUCAGCAUGAGGCCAGCUUUGAGUUCAUCUCGUGUCCAUGGAGUGGGACUUUCCUUCUACCCAUGAGAUUCACUCACUGAUUCUGCUAAUGCUCACUCAUCAGCUUCUAUGUUGGAUGUUAAGGUGGUGUUUAUCACCUGGCUGUGGAAAGUAUCCAUAAAAUCAAAAGUGUGUCAUGUACUAGUACCACUAAUACAAUUUUUCAAAUAAUUCUACUCAUUAGACUUUUGCUGGUCUCUUUUAAUAUAAUCAAGGUCAAUUACUGUAUCUUUUUAGUAGUCUUACAUAGCAGUUUAAAAACUUAGAUUCUCAAUUUGAGGAUUCCUUCAUGAGUGAGAGGCAUGCUUCAGAGUCUGUGUCUAUUAGUUGAAUUGUAACCUCACCCCAACCCCCAAAGAGGUACGUUAGAAGCCUAACCCUCAUUACUUGAAAUAGCACCAUUAUUUGGUGACAAGGUCUUUACAGUUCAAGUGAGGUCAUUGGAGUGAACCCUAUCCAAUCCAGUAUAACCAAUUUCCUUAUAAAAAUCUGGGCAGUCUACUAGUCUUCUUGGACUGCUGAAAGAAAAUACUAGAGACUGAGUGGUUUAAAAUACAGAAAUUUAUUUCCUCACAAUUCUGUAAUCUAGAAGUUCAAGACCAGGGGGGCAUCAGAGUAGGU
Molecule: long non-coding RNA, 3180 nt
Filed under: Ovis aries (sheep)
Lineage: Eukaryota; Metazoa; Chordata; Mammalia; Artiodactyla; Bovidae
Description: lncRNA (ENSOARG00000025988.1)
Source: RNAcentral